GAUGAAGAACGCAGCGAAAUGCGAUAAGUAAUGUGAAUUGCAGAAUUCAGUGAAUCAUCGAAUCUUUGAACGCACAUUGCGCCCGCCAGUAUUCUGGCGGGCAUGCCUGUUCGAGCGUCAUUUCAACCAUCAAGCCCCCGGCUUGUGUUGGGGACCUGCGGCUGCCGCAGGCCCUGAAAAGCAGUGGCGGGCUCGCUGUCACACCGAGCGUAGUAGCGUACAUCUCGCUCUGGGCGUGCUGNGGGUUCCGGCCGUUAAACCACCUUCAUAACCCAAGGUUGACCUCGGAUCAGGUAGGAAGACCCGCUGAACUUAAGCAUAUCAAUAAGCGGAGGA
Molecule: unclassified non-coding RNA, 336 nt
Filed under: soil metagenome
Description: partial contains 5.8S ribosomal RNA, internal transcribed spacer 2, and large subunit ribosomal RNA
Rfam family: 5.8S ribosomal RNA (bases 1-120)
Source: RNAcentral